AGAGUUUGAUCCUGGCUCAGAUUGAACGCUGGCGGCAUGCCUUACACAUGCAAGUCGAGCGGCAGCGCGGGGGCAACCCUGGCGGCGAGCGGCGAACGGGUGAGUAAUGCAUCGGAACGUGUCCUCUUGUGGGGGAUAACCAGUCGAAAGACUGGCUAAUACCGCAUGAGAUCGAGAGAUGAAAGCAGGGGACCCGCAAGGGCCUUGCGCGAGAGGAGCGGCCGAUGCCGGAUUAGCUAGUUGGCGGGGUAAAAGCCCACCAAGGCGACGAUCCGUAGCUGGUUUGAGAGAACGACCAGCCACACUGGGACUGAGACACGGCCCAGACUCCUACGGGAGGCAGCAGUGGGGAAUUUUGGACAAUGGGGGCAACCCUGAUCCAGCCAUGCCGCGUGUGUGAAGAAGGCCUUCGGGUUGUAAAGCACUUUCGGCCGGAACGAAAUCGCACGGGUGAAUAUCCCGUGUGGAUGACGGUACCGGAAGAAGAAGCACCGGCUAACUACGUGCCAGCAGCCGCGGUAAUAC
Molecule: ribosomal RNA, 525 nt
Filed under: uncultured Pseudomonadota bacterium
Lineage: Bacteria; Pseudomonadati; Pseudomonadota
Description: bacterial SSU rRNA
Rfam family: Bacterial small subunit ribosomal RNA
Source: RNAcentral